This 497-nucleotide ribosomal RNA is filed under the name uncultured bacterium. RNAcentral's name for it is "partial 16S ribosomal RNA". It matches the Rfam family "Bacterial small subunit ribosomal RNA", at positions 28 to 507 of the family's 1533-position model. The record is from RNAcentral.
GAUGAACGCUGGCGGCGUGCCUAAUACAUGCAAGUCGAGCGGACAUACGAGGAGCUUGCUCUUCUAAGGUUAGCGGCGGACGGGUGAGUAACACGUGGAUAACCUGCCUGUUAGCCUGGGAUAACUUCGGGAAACCAGAGCUAAUACCGCAUAAUAUUUCCUACCCAUUGUGGCAAAAGGUAAAGGGGCUUUUGCUGCCACAUAACGCUGGCCUCGGGUCGAAUAGGCUGGUUGGUAGGGUACCGCCCACCCAAGGCACCGAUCCGUAGCGGCCCGGGGGGGUGGACGGGCCACCUUGGAACGGGGAAACGGUCCAGACUCCUAGGGGAGGAAGAAGUGGGGAAUAUUCGGCAAGGGGCGAAAGCCUGACGGAGCAACGCCGCGUGGGGGAGGAAGGUCUUCGGAUCGAAAACCCCUUUGAUUAGGAAAGAAAAGUGGCGGAAGAAACUGUGCACGUCUUGACGGUACCUAAUCAGAAAGCCACGGCUAACUACGUG